ACGGUUACCUUGUUACGACUUCACCCCAAUUAUCGAACCCACCUUCGGCCGCGCCCCCCUUGCGGUUAGGCUACGGACUUCGGGUGUUCCCGACUCUCAUGGUGUGACGGGCGGUGUGUACAAGGCCCGGGAACGUAUUCACCGCGGCAUGCUGAUCCGCGAUUACUAGCGAUUCCGACUUCACGCAGUCGGGUUGCAGACUGCGAUCUGAACUGGGACGGCUUUUAGGGGUUCGCUCCACCUCGCGGUUUUGCAUCCCUCUGUUGGCCGCCAUUGUAUUACGUGUGUAGCCCAGGACAUAAGGGGCAUGAUGAUUUGACGUCGUCCCCACCUUCCUCCGUUUUGUCAACGGCAGUCUCGCUAGAGUGCUCUUGCGUAGCAACUAACAAUAAGGGUUGCGCUCGUUGCGGGACUUAACCCAACAUCUCACGACACGAGCUGACGACAACCAUGCACCACCUGUCUCUGCUUUCCCCGAAAGGCACCUGACGUAUCUCUACCUCGUUAGCAGGAUGUCAAGCCCUGGUAAGGUUCUUCACGUUGCAUCGAAUUAA
This 554-nucleotide ribosomal RNA is filed under the name uncultured bacterium. RNAcentral describes it as "partial 16S ribosomal RNA". The record is from RNAcentral.